This is a long non-coding RNA of Stegastes partitus (bicolor damselfish), 686 nucleotides long. RefSeq lists it as uncharacterized. NCBI's taxonomy places the organism in Eukaryota, Metazoa, Chordata, Actinopteri, Pomacentridae. The transcript has 2 exons. The record is from RefSeq and is a predicted model, not a curated record.
GUGAGAAAAAAAAAUUACUUCUACAAUUUCAGAAUGGUGGUGAAUGCUAAAAUAACAAUGGCACAGAGAGGAGGAAGAAGACUCUCCCCAUAGACAGUGAUGUGUGUGUAGUGUUUGCCAAUAUUAGCCACUGUAACAUUAGCCACCGCAAGCACUGAUCCAACCAGCGCAAUAAAGGCUGCAGCUGAAAAAGCCCUGAGUGGAUUGAAAUGGCCAUGGAUGCAUUUUAUUGCUUAUGAAUUGAACUUCUCGUUUGAGAGAAGAAAAAAAGGAGAGCGGUGAUGUUUCGCAUUACAAAAGCUCGUUUUAAUGCAUUCUUCUCUUUCUUCUUCAAACCACAUUUAUACCUUGAAUUAAAUUUUUUUUUUUGUGACUGCAAAUUCCAUUGACUGUGGAAGAGUGCGUGAUCAAAAGCUGCAGAGCGGUUUAUGAAGAGACCUUGACCCUCAUCUUGAGUAUAAAGGACUUCCAUAUUGUGAUCUCGGACCAACAUGUGCUUUUCCAAGAAGCUGCUAACAAUACGUAGAGAUGUUUUCUAUUGUGUCACCUGUCCACCUUAUGUGCAUGCAGCAACAUGCAAUCAGAACACAAGAGGUAAACAAAUGCAGUGCAUAAAGGUAUGAGGAAAACUGAGAGAACAUUUGUUGAUUGUGUUGAAUUAAAAAAAACAAGUCAUCUACACACAA